This 374-nucleotide ribosomal RNA is filed under the name uncultured organism. RNAcentral's name for it is "bacterial SSU rRNA". It matches the Rfam family "Bacterial small subunit ribosomal RNA", at positions 526 to 896 of the family's 1533-position model. The record is from RNAcentral.
CGGGGGGAGCAAGCGUUGUUCGGAUUUACUGGGCGUAAAGGGCGCGUAGGCGGCCACCGCAAGUCGACUGUGAAAUCUCUGGGCUUAACCCAGAACGGUCAGCCGAUACUGCGGGGCUAGAGUGCAGAAGGGGCAACUGGAAUUCUCGGUGUAGCGGUGAAAUGCGUAGAUAUCGAGAGGAACACCUGCGGCGAAGGCGGGUCGCUGGGCUGACACUGACGCUGAGGCGCGAAAGCUAGGGGAGCGAACGGGAUUAGAUACCCCGGUAGUCCUAGCCUUAAACGAUGAAUGCUUGGUGUCUGGGGUUUUAUAGUCCCCGGGUGCCGUCGCUAACGCUUUAAGCAUUCCGCCUGGGGAGUACGGUCGCAAGACUG